Folsomia candida is the source of this 347-nucleotide long non-coding RNA. RefSeq lists it as uncharacterized. Lineage: Eukaryota; Metazoa; Arthropoda; Collembola; Entomobryomorpha; Isotomidae. The record is from RefSeq and is a predicted model, not a curated record. The transcript is spliced from 3 exons.
AUAUAAAGGAUCCAAAAGUGGGGAACAGAUUAUUGUUCAGAAUCAAAUUCAGCAGCAUUAAAGAAAACGACGCGAUGAAAUUCUCCAAGAUUUUCCUUCCAAUCCUCGCCUUGUUGGUGGCAUCCCUCUUUUCAGUCCAUGGAGCGGGUGAGCAAGCUGGAAAGGGCAAAGAAGCAAAGUGGUUUUUCCCCGGAUUUUGGAUUCCUCUUCCAAGUUUGAACCCAUCUACCACCACCGUCGCCCCGACAACCACACCAACAACCACAACCACAUAACCGGCUCCAAAAUACAGUCACAUUUAGCCUUUAUUAGUAAAAAAAAUAAAGAAUCAGCAAUUUAAAGCAAAA